GACGAACGCUGGCGGCGUGCUUAACACAUGCAAGUCGAACGGUAAGGCCCUCCGGGGUACACGAGUGGCGAACGGGUGAGUAACACGUGGGUGAUCUGCCCUGCACUUCGGGAUAAGCCUGGGAAACUGGGUCUAAUACCGGAUAGGACUCCGGACUGCAUGGUCUGGGGUGGAAAGCUUUUGCGGUGUGGGAUGGGCCCGCGGCCUAUCAGCUUGUUGGUGGGGUGAUGGCCUACCAAGGCGACGACGGGUAGCCGGCCUGAGAGGGUGACCGGCCACACUGGGACUGAGAUACGGCCCAGACUCCUACGGGAGGCAGCAGUGGGGAAUAUUGCACAAUGGCCGCAAGCCUGAUGCAGCGACGCCGCGUGAGGGAUGGCGGCCUUCGGGUUGUAAACCUCUUUCAGCAUCGACGAAGCGAAAGUGACGGUAGGUGCAGAAGAAGGACCGGCCAACUACGUGCCAGCAGCCGCGGUAA
RNAcentral lists this ribosomal RNA (478 nucleotides) under uncultured bacterium. Its description in RNAcentral is "partial 16S ribosomal RNA". It matches the Rfam family "Bacterial small subunit ribosomal RNA", at positions 28 to 523 of the family's 1533-position model. The record is from RNAcentral.